GGCGGGGUAAAGGCCCACCAAGGCAACGAUGGGUAGCCGACCUGAGAGGGUGAUCGGCCACACUGGAACUGAGAGACGGUCCAGACUCCUACGGGAGGCAGCAGUGGGGAAUAUUGGGCAAUGGGGGAAACCCUGACCCAGCAACGCCGCGUGAGGGAAGAAGGCUUUCGGGUCGUAAACCUCUGUCCCAUGGGAAGAGCGGAAGACGGUACCAUGGGAGGAAGCCCCGGCUAACUACGUGCCAGCAGCCGCGGUAAUACGUAGGGGGCGAGCGUUGUCCGGAAUGACUGGGCGUAAAGGGCGCGUAGGCGGCUUGACAAGUCCGGAGUGAAAGUCCCGCUUUCAAGGUGGGAAUGGCUUUGGAAACUGUGAGGCUUGAGUGUGGGAGAGGAUAGCGGAAUUCCCGGUGUAGCGGUGAAAUGCGUAGAGAUCGGGAGGAACACCAGUGGCGAAGGCGGCUAUCUGGACCAAGACUGACGCUGAGGCGCGAAAGCGUGGGUAGCAAACAGGAUUAGAUACCCUGGUAGUCCACGCUGUAAACGAUGGAUGCUAGGUGUAGGAGGUACCGACCCC
This 573-nucleotide ribosomal RNA is filed under the name uncultured bacterium. Its description in RNAcentral is "bacterial SSU rRNA". It matches the Rfam family "Bacterial small subunit ribosomal RNA", at positions 251 to 839 of the family's 1533-position model. The record is from RNAcentral.